AGUUUGGGGCAGCCUGGUGGCUCAGCAGUUUAGCGCCGCCUCCAGUCCAGGGCAUGAUCCUGGAGACCCAGGAUCGAGUCCCACAUCGGGCUCCCUGCAUGGAGCCUGUGCCUCUGCCUCUCUCUCUCUCUCUCUGUGUGUGUUUUUCAUGAAUAAAUAAAUAAAAUCUUAAAAAAAAAAAAGUUAGCUCACCCAUGCAUUCCUCAUUGGUUAACUAAGCAAACCAAGCUUUUUUGAACAUGUAGACCUCACAUUCAUUAGGUAUAGAUAUAUCUCCUGAAAUAUCUUCCCUGAUCUUCAUCUAUUUCACUCUUUCCUGAAUUCUAAGAUAUUGACCUUCACCUGCUAUUGGUUUGUGCUUCUGCCAAAGCAUGUGUUCAGCUAGACUUCUUCUGGCCACCAGACCUUGGCUAGGUUUCCUGACCACUAACUUUCUCUUUCUCCUAGGGGAUAGAUACUAACUCUAGAAGAGUCAUCUCAUUCUACCUUCCACCCUUAUCUAGCUUAUCUCACACCUAUACAUGACUGGCCCCAAGAUGAGGAUUCAUGGCAUCCUGUAUUCCCAUUUCUUUAAACCAAAGUAGACACAAGCUGUGAUUUUGAAAAGUUUAGAAGAGUUCCUGAGAAUAACUGGGAAAUCAAAAUACAGCAGAGGUUAACCUGUCAAAAAUAUUCUUAAAACUGAUUAUUUUCCCAACUCUGACAGAAAUUUAGAAUUUCACCCAUCUAUUAUCACAACCAGAGGCCUCAGAUCCAGCUGUGUCAUCAAGUAGACCCAUUGGAAGAUUCUUACUGCAAAUUUUCUUAAUCUUCUCUAGUGGCAUUGAUUACAUAUGAGCUUAAUUUCCAUAAGGACAACAAAGAGCUACGCAAAAUAUCAUGACUGUAAUUACUGGAUGCUACAUAAGGAAAGUCAAAAGAACUCACAAAAAAAGAAGUCAAAAGAGCUCACUCUUAGUAAGGUAACCUUGGAGAGAAUCCAAUAUAACUCCCCUGUUUUCCAUUUUUAAAAAAUAUUUAUUUAUUUAUUUAUUUAUUUAUUUAUUUAUUUAUUUAUUUGAGAGAGAGAAAGAGAGAGCAUGAGUCAGGUGAAGGGGUAGAGGAAGAGAGAGAAUCCUCAAGCAGACUCCCCAGAGUGUGGAACCAAACACCAGGCUCAAUCCCAGGACCCUGAGAUCAAGACCUAAGCCAAAAUCAAGACUGGUCCACUCAACCGACUGAGUCACCCCUUUUAAAAUAUACCUUUGAGCAUAUAAUUAACUACUAUCAGAACUAGAAUCCACGUUUCAGUGUAAAAAUGAUUCCAGUAAUUUCAUGAUGUCUGGUAAUACUUUUGAAUGCAGUCAAUUUAACUACUUCAGACUGGUGACGCUAUGCUAUUUUUAAAGCCACCAGGACAAAAAUUCUACAAUGGCCCUCAAAAUUCUGUGUGGUGCUAGAGUGAUAUUUCUACUGAUCAUUUCUCCUCAUGGUUCUCUAAAUCACUCUUAUUGCAAUUUUACCCCUUCUCUUCCGUUGGAACUGAAAGAAAAAAAUACACAUUUGUUUUUAUUCCUCACUACUACAAUACUCAGAUUUAUGAGAAAUUGAGUUUGUUUCCCCCCACAGAGCUCAAAGCAUUAACCACUGUUAGAGACAUAAGCUCCUGUUGCUGUGCUGGAGUCUGCUAAAUAGAACUGCUCUUAAGAGAAGCAACCCUAUCUGAAACCAAUACUACAGUUCAAACACCUGCUCAUUACUUUGAUUUGAAUCUUAUGUCGAAAUCACCAUUUGUUUUAUAAAGAUAUGGUAUCUGAAUAUGUGUGCUUCAUCCCUCUGGAAUGUCAAUCACAAUAGACCUAUGUUCUAUUUCAAUAUUAGCUAUUACUUCAGAAAAUGACUAUCAUAUUGAAGUUACCCUGCAGAAAUUUUGUUUAGGCCACAAAACCUCUUUUAAGAUAAACUACACUAGCCCUAUCCUUUAGAUUACUCUCUGGUGGAAAUACAUCCAGCAGGUUUUGUGUUACAUGUGAUACAAGACAGACAAAAACAUAAUUCACUUUAUAUUGAUCACAAAAUAUAUACUCUCCCACAACUCUCUGAUUGUUCAAACAAUUUAGGAGAAAUCUCCUUUUCUAUUUCAUUUGUUGUUGGAUGGAACACAUCCUGAAUUUGUCAUCUCUUCUUUCUCUACAUGGAAUCCCUCAUGCUGAAGGUAAUCAAUCAAUCGGUUUACAAUAGAAUGUUUGAUAGACUGCUGUUUCACAUCACUUCCCUGAUAGGGAUAAUAAACCUAAAAUGGAGAAAUGGUAGAUA
This 2295-nucleotide long non-coding RNA is filed under the name Canis lupus familiaris (dog). Its description in RNAcentral is "lncRNA (ENSCAFG00845009973.1)". Lineage: Eukaryota; Metazoa; Chordata; Mammalia; Carnivora; Canidae. The record is from RNAcentral.